Molecule: transfer RNA, 73 nt
Filed under: Corallina officinalis
Lineage: Eukaryota; Rhodophyta; Florideophyceae; Corallinales; Corallinaceae
Also listed under: 1 other name
Description: tRNA-Gly
Rfam family: tRNA
About the family: Transfer RNA (tRNA) molecules are approximately 80 nucleotides in length. Their secondary structure includes four short double-helical elements and three loops (D, anti-codon, and T loops). Further hydrogen bonds mediate the characteristic L-shaped molecular structure. tRNAs have two regions of fundamental functional importance: the anti-codon, which is responsible for specific mRNA codon recognition, and the 3' end, to which the tRNAs corresponding amino acid is attached (by aminoacyl-tRNA synthetases). tRNAs cope with the degeneracy of the genetic code in two manners: having more than one tRNA (with a specific anti-codon) for a particular amino acid; and 'wobble' base-pairing, i.e. permitting non-standard base-pairing at the 3rd anti-codon position.
Source: RNAcentral
GCGGAAAUAACUUAAUUGGUAAAGUACAACCUUGCCAAGGUUGUUAUUGAGGGUUCGAGUCCCUUUUUCCGCU